UACGUAGGCGGCCUGACAAGUCAGAGGUGAAAGGCUACGGCUUAACCGUAGUAAGCCUUUGAAACUGACAGGCUUGAGUGCAGGAGAGGAAAGUGGAAUUCCUAGUGUAGCGGUGAAAUGCGUAGAUAUUAGGAGGAACACCAGUGGCGAAGGCGACUUUCUGGACUGUAACUGACGCUGAGGCACGAAAGCGUGGGGAGCGAACAGGAUUAGAUACCCUGGUAGUCC
Molecule: ribosomal RNA, 228 nt
Filed under: uncultured bacterium
Lineage: Bacteria
Description: partial 16S ribosomal RNA
Rfam family: Bacterial small subunit ribosomal RNA
Source: RNAcentral